GGCGACCGGCGCACGGGUGAGUAACACGUAUCCAACCUGCCGAUAACUCGGGGAUAGCCUUUCGAAAGAAAGAUUAAUAUCCGAUAGCAUAUUGAGAUCGCAUGAUUUUGAUAUUAAAGAAUUUCGGUUAUCGAUGGGGAUGCGUUCCAUUAGUUUGUUGGCGGGGUAACGGCCCACCAAGACUACGAUGGAUAGGGGUUCUGAGAGGAAGGUCCCCCACAUUGGAACUGAGACACGGUCCAA
Molecule: ribosomal RNA, 243 nt
Filed under: uncultured bacterium
Lineage: Bacteria
Description: partial 16S ribosomal RNA
Rfam family: Bacterial small subunit ribosomal RNA
Source: RNAcentral